GAGGAAUAGAAACUAACAAGGAUUCCCCUAGUAACUGCGAGUGAAGCGGGAAAAGCUCAAAUUUAAAAUCUGGCGGCUUUGGUCGUCCGAGUUGUAUCCUAGAGAAGUGUUUUCCGCGUUGGACCGUGUAUAAGUCUCUUGGAACAGAGCGUCAUAGAGGGUGAGAAUCCCGUCUUUGACACGGACUACCAAUGCUUUGUGAUACACUCUCAAAGAGUCGAGUUGUUUGGGAAUGCAGCUCAAAAUGGGUGGUAAAUUCCAUCUAAAGCUAAAUAUUGGCGAGAGACCGAUAGCGAACAAGUACCGUGAGGGAAAGAUGAAAAGCACUUUGGAAAGAGAGUUAAACAGUACGUGAAAUUGCUGAAAGGGAAACGAUUGAAGUCAGUCGCGUUAGCUAGAACUCAACCAGGCUUGCUUGGCGUAUUUUCUAGUUAACGGGCCAGCAUCAGUUUUGACCGCAGGAAAAAGGCCAGAGAAAUGUGGCACCUUCGGGUGUGUUAUAGUCUUUGGUCAUAUACUGCGAUUGGGACUGAGGUUCGCAGCACGCGCAAGCGGUGCUUAGGAUGCUGGCGUAAUGGCUUUAAACGACCC
This 591-nucleotide ribosomal RNA is filed under the name fungal sp. RNAcentral describes it as "eukaryotic LSU rRNA". It matches the Rfam family "Eukaryotic large subunit ribosomal RNA", at positions 53 to 650 of the family's 3401-position model. The record is from RNAcentral. Lineage: Eukaryota; Fungi.